RNAcentral lists this ribosomal RNA (266 nucleotides) under uncultured bacterium. RNAcentral's name for it is "partial 16S ribosomal RNA". The record is from RNAcentral.
CUGCUGCCUCCCGUAGGAGUUUGGGCCGUGUCUCAGUCCCAAUGUGGCCGUCCACCCUCUCAGGCCGGCUACUGAUCGUCGCUUUGGUAGGCCGUUACCCUGCCAACUGGCUAAUCAGACGCGGGUCCAUCGCAUACCACCUCGGUUUUUCACACUGGACCAUGCGGUCCCGUGCGCUUAUGCGGUAUUAGCACCUGUUUCCAGGUGUUAUCCCCCGGUAUACGGCAGGUUACCCACGCGUUACUCACCCGUCCGCCACUACUUAA